ACAUAAACAUUCAUGAGCAUCACUCAUGUCAAUCAGCUUCAAAAGCUUUAUUUACAGAGCUACAACUUCAAAAGCUUCAUUUACAAAAGCUCUAACUUCAAAAGCUUCCUUUACAGAGCUCCAGCUUCAAAGCUUCACUUACAAAGCUUCACUUACAAAGCUUCACUUUCAAAGCUUUAGUGCAGGGUAUACAAAUACCGCCUCCGAAUAACCGCCACUUCGGCCCAUACAUGGAUUCAAUUUGAAGUCUUCGGCCAACAGACUCUAUUGACCGAAGACUUGGGGGACUACAUUAUACACCAUAUAUUAGGCCUCAACUGGGCCUCAUGAAAAAUACCUGGGGGACUCUAGCCCAUCACUUAUGUAUUGAGGAGUGAACCCUUAUUUUAUAAAAGUGACUCCCUCACUUUCAUUAGAAAGCAUCCAUUAUUCAUGUAUUGAGGAGCGAACCCUUAUUUUAUAAAAUGGACUCCCUCACCUUCAUUAGAGAGCAACGCCGUUAGCUGAGCAACUGCCUCGCCGUGAGCAUCACUCCUAACCCAUCACUUAUGUAUUGAGGAGGGAGCCCUUAUUCUGUAAAAGAAACUCCCUCACCACUAUUAGAGAGCAUCGUCGCCUACUGAGCAACCACCUCGCUGCGAGCAUCAACUCUAGCCCAUCAUUUAUGUAUUGAGGAGCGAGCCUUUAUUCUAUAAAAGGGACACCCUCACCUUCAACGCCACAAGCCGAGCCAACCAAGGCACCAUAAGCCACAAACCGAGCAGCUUCGCAACAUGUGCUACUUCUAAUCGAGCAUCAUUUUAGAUUAGGCACCGCCGCCUACCGAGCAUCAGUUCAAGACGACAUCUAGUUACUUCGGCCCAUACAUGGAUUGAAUUUCAAGUCUCUAGCCAAAUGACUCUCUUGACUGAAGACUUGGGGGACUAAUGUUUAUACCAUACUUAGGGUCUCCGUAUUUAGAUCUCGUACAAAUACUCGAGGGGCUUAAAUGUAAUUAUGUAAUAAAGGAAGAGGCAAAUAUGUAAUAAGUGAGGAGCCCUUAUUCUAUAAAAGGACUCCAUCACACUCACAAUUAGGGGAGGCCAUUCCUUAAGCCUUCUCACCCCUCUCACAUCCCCUCUCAUAUUCAGAGGUUCUCUCCCUCACCUCUCAGAUAAAUACAUAAUCAGUGUGGACGUAGCCCAAACCUUGGGGUAAACCACGAUACAUCUUGUGUUAUUUACAUUACUUGCAGAUUCACAGUCGGAUUUACGUUGUUCCAAGACCUCCGGUUUUGUGCAUCAACAUUGUGAAUUAAAGCGCCUCUGACUCUCCUUUUUUUUUAAUGACUUUAUUCGUUUUCUAUCUGCUGCGCCCUGCAUAAAAAAUAUGCUCCACCUCAUUUUAACAUUAAGGACCUAAGCUUUAGUGCCCACCAAUUUAAACAUUUUGAAUCUGUCCUUGAGCAACGUAAAUCCAAGUUGUUAUUCAGAUUAUGUGUUUUGCACCUCAACCUCAUUUCUCCUUCGGCUCACUUCUCGUUCCCGAUAUCCCAAAUACCCCUAACCUUGACCCGCACCUCAAUUUUUCUCCCCGUUAAUGGACGAGUAGCGUGAUACGACUGACCAUAUUUGAGACUUUCUCGAUCAGGAGGUAAUAGAGAUUUUUUUUUUUGUUGAGUGGACUCAAAUGAGCAGUUAGCGCUGUAUAAUAACUUUAUAUUUAUUAUGUAAGAUGCGUGUUAAGUCAUUUCAUUGGUGUACUUCACCAACCUUGACACUAAUUUUGAAUCGCCUUUUUUUGUGUAUAUUAUAGUGUAUUAAAAUAUCACUAGUAGUAAUAGAUUGCAAAUUGGAUUGGAGUUGAAUUGCAAGGAGGUAGGCCAUCUUCAAUCGAAGGCUGACCAAAUGACUCGUUUUAGCCAUUUGGCCCUCCAAGAAAUUAAUAUUUUAAUGAACAGUGCAUGACCAUAUUUCUUACCAUCUCCAACCGAGGGCCAAAGGGCUAUAGGGUUCAUUUUAGCCAUGUCACAAAAAAUAGUCUCCAACCGAGGGCCAAAGGGCUAUAGUAUGGAAUGUAAAGAAUUGAAAUAAAAUGAGAUAAGAUAGUUAUGAAAUGAUGAAAAAUAUGUGAGAAAUGGUGUAAGAAAAAAAAUUAGAAAUUAAAAAAAAAUAAAAAGGAAGGCUGCUGGGCAUAAAAACAAAAAGUGGGCUGGGACCAAAAAACAUACCUAAGUUCAUGAGCGCACAAAUUUUGUCCCAGGUAUACUAUAGAGCAGCCAUACUUUAGUAUUAGGCAAGGUAUUAAAUAUCGAUGGAAAUAUCGGGAUAUUAUCGAUAUCGAUAAAAAUAAUAUGGAAACCACGGAAAUUGUAAGAAAAACUUGGAAAUUUUUAUUGAAACUUUGCAGGAUGUUUAUUUAGUCAAUUAUCUAUUAGUUUAUCACAAAAAAUUGGAAUGAAAUGCAUUGCAUGAUGGAUUUAACUGAUUUAAGUUGAUUAUAUAGCGAGCUGGCAAACAUUGUGAGUGUAGA
Molecule: long non-coding RNA, 2511 nt
Filed under: Malus domestica (apple)
Lineage: Eukaryota; Viridiplantae; Streptophyta; Magnoliopsida; Rosales; Rosaceae
Description: long non-coding RNA (MDOM_LNC007003)
Source: RNAcentral